Molecule: ribosomal RNA, 460 nt
Filed under: uncultured bacterium
Lineage: Bacteria
Description: partial 16S ribosomal RNA
Rfam family: Bacterial small subunit ribosomal RNA
Source: RNAcentral
CCUACGGGAGGCUGCAGUGAGGAAUAUUGGUCAAUGGGCGCGAGCCUGAACCAGCCAAGUAGCGUGAAGGAUGACUGCCCUACGGGUUGUAAACCUCUUUUAUAAAGGAAUAAAGUGAGGCACGUGUGCCUUUUUGUAUGUACUUUAUGAAUAAGGAUCGGCUAACUCCGUGCCAGCAGCCGCGGUAAUCCGGAGGAUCCGAGCGUUAUCCGGAUUUAUUGGGUUUAACGGGAGCGUAGAUGGGUUAGUAAGUCAGUUGUGAAAGGUUGCGGCUCAACCGUAAAAUUGCAAUUGAUACUGGCAGUCUUGAGUACAGUUGAGGUAGGCGGAAUUCGUGGUGUAGCGGUGAAAUGCUUAGAGAUCACGAAGAACUCUGAUUGCGAAGGCAGCUUACUAAACUGCCACUGACAUUGAUGCGCGAAAGUGUGGGUAUCAAACAGGAUUAGAUACCCGGGUAGUC